Molecule: ribosomal RNA, 420 nt
Filed under: Alteromonas sp.
Lineage: Bacteria; Pseudomonadati; Pseudomonadota; Gammaproteobacteria; Alteromonadales; Alteromonadaceae
Description: bacterial SSU rRNA
Rfam family: Bacterial small subunit ribosomal RNA
Source: RNAcentral
AUUGAACGCUGGCGGCAGGCCUAACACAUGCAAGUCGAACGGUAACAUUUMUAGCUUGCUAGAAGAUGACGAGUGGCGGACGGGUGAGUAAUGCUUGGGAACUUGCCUUUGCGAGGGGGAUAACAGUUGGAAACGACUGCUAAUACCGCAUAAUGUCUUCGGACCAAACGGGGCUUMGGCUCCGGCGCAAAGAGAGGCCCAAGUGAGAUUAGCUAGUUGGUGAGGUAAAGGCUCACCAAGGCAACGAUCUCUAGCUGUUCUGAGAGGAAGAUCAGCCACACUGGGACUGAGACACGGCCCAGACUCCUACGGGAGGCAGCAGUGGGGAAUAUUGCACAAUGGGCGAAAGCCUGAUGCAGCCAUGCCGCGUGUGUGAAGAAGGCCUUCGGGUUGUAAAGCACUUUCAGUUGUGAGGAAAAG